Microcebus murinus (gray mouse lemur) is the source of this 516-nucleotide non-coding RNA. Lineage: Eukaryota; Metazoa; Chordata; Mammalia; Primates; Cheirogaleidae. The record is from RefSeq and is a predicted model, not a curated record.
GGGAAACUUCGGGGCUGUGGGCUGAGGAGAGCGCACCGACUGGCUCUGUCAGCCCGCACUGAGGAAGGGGCUUCCAGCUGGGAUCCAUAUGUGAUGAGGCGAACGAAAGCAGCCACCUUGGAGCCAAAAAUACACUUAAGGUGAAGUCUGAUUCAUUCCUAAUCACAGAACUGCAGCCUUCCAGGGCUCCAAAGUGCAUAACAGGAACUUAAUGCUUCAGUACAGAAACAAACAAAAGAAGAAACGAAUGCUCGUCCCCUGUGACUCCUCCUCCUCCAUUAUGCAGUCAGGAAAUAAUAUGGUGGGUAUCCAGAGGGCGGGACAAAUCUGAAGAACUAUUUCCAGCUGUUAAAAAACACACAGUAACAUGGAGUCCAUGCUCUGCAGUCUUCACACGAAUGAGAUGUGACUUUUGUAAAGAAUACUCAUUUUAGCCCAAUGGCCAGCUUUUCUUCUAGAGCAAAACCAAAGAUACUUAAGCAUGUAACCAAUGGGGAACUUUUGUCUUUAUCCUAG